AGUUCGAUCAUGGCUCGUUGAACGCUGGCGGGAUGCUUUACACAUGCAGAUCCCGAACGGCAGCACGGACUUCGGUCUGGUGGCGAGUGGCGAACGGGUGAGUAAUGUAUCAGGAACACGAUGCCUAGUAGCGGGGGAUAACUACGCGAAGGCGCUAAUACCGCAUACGCCCUUCGGGGGAAAGCGGGGACCUUCGGGCGCUCGCACUAUUAGAGCGGCCGAUAUCGGAUUAGCUAGUUGGUGGGGUAACGGCUCACCAAGGCGACGAUCCGUAGCUGGUUUGAAGAGGACGACCAGCCACUGGGACUGAGACACGGCCCAGACUCCCACCACUGGAGGCAGCAGUGGGGAAUUUUGGACAAUGGGGGGAAACCUGAUCCAGCCAUCCCGCGUGUGCGGUAGAGGCCUUCCGGGUUGUAAAGCACUUUUGGCAGGAAAGAAACGGCCUGGGAUAUUACCCCGUGCAACUGACGGUACCUGCAGAAUAAGCGCCGGCUGUGGUGCCAGCAGCCGCGGUAAUACGUAGGGUGCAAGCGUUAAUCGGAAUUACUGGGCGUAAAGCGUGCGCAGGCGGUUCGGAAGAAGAAUUAACUAAAUCCCAGAGCUUAACUUUGGAACUGCAUUUUUAACUGCCGAGGCUAGAGUGUGUCAGAGGGAGGGUGGAAUUCCGCGUGUGGCAAUUGAAAUGCGUGAUCGCCGGAGGAACUUACCGAUGGCGAAGGCAGCCUCCUGGGAUAACAUGACGCUCAUGCACAGCGUGGGGAAUUAGAAGCAGGAUUAGAUACCCUGGUAGUCCACGCCCUAAACGAUGUCAAUAGCUGUUGGGGCCUUCGGGCCUUGGUAGCGCAGCUAACGCGUGAAGUUGACCGCCUGCUGGGAGUACGGUCGCAAGAUUAAAACUCAAAGGAAUUGACGGGGACCCGCACAAGCGGUGGAUGAUGUGGAUUAAUUCGAUGCAGCGCGAAAACCUUACCUACCCUUGACAUGUCUGGAAUCCCGAAGAGAUUUGGGAGUGCUCGCAAGAGAACCGGAACACAGGUGCUGCAUGGCUGUCGUCAGCUCGUGUCGUGAGAUGUUGGGUUAAGUCCCGCAACGAGCGCAACCCUUGUCAUUAGUUGCUACGAGGCACUCUAAUGGAGACUGCCGGUGACAAACCGGAGGAAGGUGGGGAUGACGUCAAGUCCUCAUAUUCCCUUAUGGGUAGGGCUUCACACGUCAGCACAAUGGUCGGGACAGAGGGUCGCCAACCCGCGAGGGAGCCAAUCCCAGAAACCCGAUCGUAGUCCGGAUCGCAGUCUGCGCUCGACUGCGUGAAGUCGGAAUCGCUAGUAAUCGCGGAUCAGCAUGUCGCGGUGAAUACGUUCCCGGGUCUUGUACACACCCGUCACACCAUGGGAGUGGGUUUUACCGAAGUAGUUAGCCUAACCGUAGGGAGGGCGGUGCCACAGUGAUUCAUGACUGGGGUGAAGUCGUAACAAAGGUAG
Molecule: ribosomal RNA, 1484 nt
Filed under: uncultured Bordetella sp.
Lineage: Bacteria; Pseudomonadati; Pseudomonadota; Betaproteobacteria; Burkholderiales; Alcaligenaceae
Description: partial 16S-23S ribosomal RNA intergenic spacer
Rfam family: Bacterial small subunit ribosomal RNA
Source: RNAcentral